RNAcentral lists this ribosomal RNA (422 nucleotides) under uncultured bacterium. RNAcentral's name for it is "bacterial SSU rRNA". It matches the Rfam family "Bacterial small subunit ribosomal RNA", at positions 355 to 774 of the family's 1533-position model. The record is from RNAcentral.
UGAGGAAUAUUGGGCAAUGCCCGAAAGGGUGACCCAGCAACGCCGCGUGGAGGAUGAAUGUCGUAAGAUUGUAAACUCCUGUUAGAGGGGAAGAAUAGUACCGGUUGGACCGGUAUAUGACUGUACCCUCAGAGAAAGCCCCGGCUAACUACGUGCCAGCAGCCGCGGUAAUACGUAGGGGGCAAGCGUUGUCCGGAUUUACUGGGUGUAAAGGGCGCGCAGGCGGGAUAAAAAGUCAGUGGUGAAAUCCUACAGCUUAACUGUAGAACUGCCUUUGAUACUUUUAUUCUUGAGUUCGGGAGAGAGAGACGGAAUUCCAGGUGUAGUGGUGAAAUACGUAGAUAUCUGGAAGAACACCAGUUGCGAAGGCGGUCUCUUGGUCCGACACUGACGCUGAGGCGCGAAAGCGUGGGGAGCAAACA